CAGAGAAACACGACUCAGGAGCGUCUCAGGGCUCUCGGAUCUGGGGACAGAAGUGAGAUUGGAGAAAGUAGAGCGAUGCCAAGGAGGAAACAGCAAGCACCCAAACGGGCUGCAGGUUAUGUCCAAGAGGAAGACAUAAAGGAAGAGGAAGAUAUAAAGGAGGAGGAGGAAGAUGAUGAUGACAACAACUCAACUGCUCAGCUCCAGGGCAGCAAUGACACUGGCACGGAUGAGGAACACGAAGUGGGUCCUGAGCAGAAAGGGAACUUCAGUUACCAGAAUUCCCCUGUCAGUCAUGUAUCUAACCAGGAUGCAGAAAACGAAUCACUACUAAGUGACGGUAGUGACCACGUGGCAGACAUUAAAAGCAUCUGCUCUAGAGAGCCACAGGACCCAAAACCCAGCACCCAUCCCAAAGCCCUGAAUGAAGCACACGACUGCAUGGAUAAAAUGACAGCAGUCUACGCCAACAUACUGUCAGACUCUUACUGGACGGGCUUAGGGCUGGGUUUCAAGUUGUCUAACUCUGAAAAGAGGAGUUGUGACAACAGAAAUGGAGGGAACAAAGCUGAUUUUGAUUGGCACCAAGACGCACUGUCAAAAAGCUUACAGCAGAAUUUACCUUCCAGACCUGUCUCGAAACCCAACCUGUUCAGCUCGGUCCAGCUCUACAGGCAGAGCAGCAAAAUGUGUGGAACUGUGUUCACGGGUGCCAGCCGGUUUCGGUGCCGGCAGUGCAGCGCUGCCUAUGACACAUUGGUAGAACUGACGGUUCAUAUGAACGAGACAGGUCACUACCAAGAUGACAACCAUAAAAAGGACAAGCACAGGCCUACCAGCUACUCAAAGCCCCGAAAAAGGGCUUUCCAGGACAUGGACAAGGAAGAUGCACAAAAAGUUCUGAAAUGUAUGUUCUGUGGUGACUCUUUUGAUUCCCUUCAAGAUCUGAGCGUUCAUAUGAUAAAAACAAAACAUUACCAAAAAGUGCCUUUGAAGGAGCCGGUACCAACCAUUUCUUCAAAAAUGGUCACUCCAGCAAAGAAACGCGUGUUUGACGUCAACAGGCCUUGCUCCCCUGAUUCCACGACAGGGUCUUUCUCAGAUACUUUUUCUCCUCAGAAGAAUGCGAACCUGCAGUUAUCAUCUAACAACCGCUAUGGCUACCAGAAUGGCGCCAGCUAUACAUGGCAGUUUGAGGCCUGCAAAUCCCAGAUUUUGAAGUGUAUGGAAUGUGGAAGUUCCCAUGAUACCUUGCAGCAGCUCACGACCCACAUGAUGGUCACUGGCCAUUUCUUGAAAGUCACAAGUUCAGCUUCAAAGAAAGGAAAGCAACUUGUUCUGGAUCCUUUAGCUGUGGAAAAAAUGCAGUCGCUGUCUGAAGCACCAGCCAAUGACAGCCCAGUUUCAAAAUCAACCAGUAAAUCUUCUGCAGAAUGCAUAGCUCCCACCUCUGAACUAAAAAAAGAAAGUAAAAAAGAUAAAGUUGAUGAUGCAAACAAAGAUGAGAAAGCAGUAAAAACUGAAGAGUAUGAAGACACUCUUCAGAAACCACUGGAUCCCACAAUGAAAUACCAGUACCUCAGAGAAGAGGAUUUAGAAGAUGGUUCAAAGGGUGGUGGAGACAUCUUAAAGUCCUUGGAGAACACUGUCACGACAGCCAUCAAUAAAGCUCAAAAUGGAGCACCCAGCUGGAGUGCGUAUCCCAGCAUCCACGCAGCUUAUCAGCUCUCAGAAGGAGCUAAGCCGUCUUUGCCCGUGGGUUCCCAAGUACUGCAAAUCAGGCCAACGAUCACAAAUAAAUUGAGGCCCAUAGCUCCAAAGUGGAAGGUCAUGCCUCUGGUCCCUAUCUCAGCAAACGUGGCCCAGUGCACUCAAGUGAAGAAGGAAACUGAUGACAAGGAGGAGGUACAAAAGGACUAUGCUAAAGAGGGCAUUCAAGCUGAGCCUGCCUCACUCAGUCAGAGCGAGAGAGAACCUCUCCUCAAAUCUGAAGCCUCUGUGGAGCCAAAAAAGUCAGAACCAUGUUCCUUGAAAGAAGAAGACAAAAUUAAAGAGGACAGCGGAAAAGAAAAACCAGUCCUGAAGGAACCAACAGCAGCUUCCCUUAGUAAUGGUUGCGCUGCUGCCAACCAUUCGUCCGAACUGCCUUGUGUCAACCCUCUCAGUGCGUUGCAGUCAGUACUGAAUAAUCACUUGGGCAAAGCCACUGAGCCUUUACGGCCUCAAUCCAACUCCAGCCCCAGCUCUAGCACAAUUUCUAUGUUCCACAAACCUAAUCUAAAUAUGAUGGAGAAGCCAGUUUUAUCUCCUGCUCCAACCCCACCAAAGCCUGCAAGUGUAUCCAGGCACUAUUUGUUUGAAAACAGCGAUCAACCUAUUGACCUGACCAAAUCCAAAGGCAAGAAAGCUGAGUCAGCUCAAGCACAAUCUUGUACUUCUCCACCUCAAAAACACGCUCUGUCUGACAUCGCUGACAUGGUCAAAGUUCUUCCCAAAGCCACUACACCAAAACCUGCUGCAUCUUCAAGGAUCCCAUCUAUGAAAUUGGAAAUAGAUGUCCGACGCUUUGAGGAUGUCUCAACAGAAGUCUCCACUCUGCAUAAACGGAAGGGCAGACAGUCAAACUGGAACCCUCAGCAUCUGCUUAUCUUGCAAGCUCAGUUUGCUUCCAGCCUCUUCCAGACUUCUGAAGGUAAAUAUUUAUUAUCAGAUCUAGGCCCACAAGAGCGCAUGCAGAUUUCAAAAUUUACUGGACUGUCAAUGACCACCAUCAGCCAUUGGUUGGCAAAUGUCAAGUAUCAGCUUAGGAAAACUGGAGGAACAAAGUUUUUGAAAAACAUGGACAAAGGACAUCCAGUCUUUUAUUGCAGCGACUGUGCGUCUCAGUUUCGAACCCCAUCUACUUACAUUAGCCACUUAGAAUCUCAUCUAGGUUUCCAAAUGAAAGACAUGAACAGGCUGGCUGUGGAGCAGCAAACCAAGGUAGAGCAAGAAAUCUCCAGAGUUUCAGUUCAAAGAUCUCCUGAAACAAUAGCUGGAGAAGAGGACACAGACUCUAAGUUCAAAUGUAAGUUGUGCUGUCGGACAUUUGCGAGCAAACAUGCAGUAAAACUUCAUCUAAGCAAAACACACAGCAAGUCACCAGAACACCAUUCACAAUUUGUAGCAGAAGUGGAUGAAGAAUAACUCUUAAGGACGAAUGCCUUAGUCCCAGCUCUCCAGCCCAGGCUUCCCGCACCCAGCCCGCCUCUGCGCGUCACUCCGAUCCUGACAUUGAACUCACGACAACCCGGACCGAGAAGACUGCCAAAAAACCUCCCGCUAUUCUUCUUCAUCCUCACUAACAAUUUGAUUAAAAUCGGGUCCUGAGUCAACUCACAAAACCUUCCAGGAGACACUAAUGUCACGAGCCUCGCGUUACCUAGUGCACUGCUUGGAGAAUCGGGCGCAGCCCUGUUCACUCUCGCUGAGCAUUUCCUCGCAGCGAAAGCAACCUCCAGUAGACAAAUCCAUCUCCGCGUUUAACGGUGAACUUCCCUUAUCCUCAAAGGAAAAAAUAAGUCUGGAUCAAGUUGUAAACCACUACUCCAUUGCAAAUGACAUAUUCCAAGUGUGGUAGGCACGAGUCAAGAAGAGGAUCCUUCUCAAGUAAGAGAGGGCUUUGGGGUGUCCUUGUUGUUUCGUGUUAGACGUUCAAGGAUAUCAUCGAAGCGCGGCGUUCACAGAAUCAGACUGAAGACGCUUGGUGCGUUCCCCGUGGCUUGUGCGGAAGGGCCUGUUUCGGCAGCAUUUGGGAAAUUUUGACAUGAUCCCUAAACUCAACAUGGAGAGGAAAAAAAGGCCCUUCUUAUUUACCUCCUAGGGAAAGUGUUGCCCUUAUGCCACAUAUAAUAGCAAAUUGCUUUUUUUAUGGCAUGCAUAACCUAGAUGGGAAAAAAUAUGGCGCUUGAGGGAAGGAGGGAAAAAGUAAAUGAAGUUCCAGGAAUGUCAUUCUGAAGUAAUGAGGCAUGGACAGAAAAUAUACCCCUCACAUCAUCGGAUUGAGAUGGCAGUCGAAAUAGCUUCAUUGAAGUGUCAGCACUCAUCCAUCAAUCAAUCAUCCACAAGGAAAAAUAGCGACAGUACAACGGGGCGGCUUUUAUGGGAUUUACUCAUGGGCAUAGGGAAUAGCAGCUCAAAUGUAGUUCUGACAUGAAAAGCAAGGUGCUGAUAUUAUUUUUUAUGAUGGGAGGAUCAUAAAGUGAAUUGAGAACAGUGAGGUCUGUCUUUGCUUAACCUAUUCAACUGGAAAUGAACGGAGCUCAACUGGAAACGAGCAGAGCCUUCAGAUGGGUUAAGAUUGAAGCCUGCACCGUGCUGAGCACCAGCCAUUGACAACAAAAUUCUAUUAAAGCAAAAUCAAUGCAUUAGCAUCGAGCUCCUCAGAAGCUGUUAAAUCGCACAGCCCAGUUCAGAGUUAUUAAGUGGUUGCACAAGGCGGGUCCUGCGGCACGGACCCAAAGGCAGCGAGCGCCGCGGUAAAACGGCACUUGGGAGAAACCACGUGCCUAUCUCCAGCCCCGCUCCCUUCCCUGAGCUUUUCGAUGCUCCAGAAAAAAUAUUUGGCUUAUUGCAGCACCCGCUGGGUGAAGCUCCCACCGACUUCAGGCGGCCCCGAUCCCGUGCCCUGUGGCAGCCGGGUGUUUCACCGUCUGCUGUGGUGGAAACCCUCCGUGCCGUAAGUCUUGCUGCUUGCGGCCGUGGCCGAGCCGCACGGAUGCCGGAGCACGGAGCCCUCCUGCUGCAGCAGCCGGGGCUGGGGCUCCUCGGGGCACCGGCUGCUCCGUUUUGGCAGAAAAGGGGCUUUCCUGGCACCCCGUAGCUGCCGAGCCGCGGGCCCGUGGUGGCCGUAGGAAUCCCGGUCCCACCAUCAGCUGCCCCAGCACCGGCACCCCGGAGCUGAAAACCUCUCUCAAGGUUUUUGGGAGGGCCGGUCCCCCCAGGGAGGUCUGCCUGGCGGGCAGCGAGUUUUGCCCAGGAGGCUUCGCUCCGGCACAGGUGAGGGAACAGCUACUUCAUUUACAAUCUGGCCACAAACCUUUAUUACACAGUGCUAAACCUUGAUUAUUUUGCCUGCAUCGUUGUCCUCUGGGAACAUUUUAGGUACACAUUUGAAUUAAGUGAUUUUUUUUUUUUUUUUUACAAUAUGAUAUAAAAAAAGAAAAUGUACGUCUCUGUACGAAACUGGAUGAGUUGAUAGUUUAUCUGUCAUAUAAAUCAGGUAACACAGAAAAUCAUUGCAUCUUUUCUCUGUCAUAUCUACUCAAUAUCUAUCGUUCUGACUUUUAUUCUUAUUGGAGAUCAUCAAAACAUUAAUUAAAAGCCUGGUGAUCAAACAGACGAAUAUUUAUGAUUCACGUCCUUGCUUAUUAACAAGUGGCAUAUUGAUACACCACAUAUCCAAGCUGUUUAUGCUCUUGCGCUGCAAUAAAGCAGUAAGAAUUGUUACCCUUGCACACUGCUUUGAGAGAUUUAUUCAGAAACCAUAGCCUCUUUCCCGCCACCAUCCAUGUCAAAAUAAGCCAUAUCACCUUAAAAAAAAAAGUUCUGUUUUAAAAGAGGAACACUUAAUUAGCAUCUCUUUGGAGCCUGCUAUGUAAGAAUUUCAGUGGAUCAGUCCCAGGUGUUUUUUCCAGGCUCUUAUUAUUUAAGCUGAGAGGGAGAAGGACACUUAACUUUAAAAAUGGCUGUCAUUAGUACAAUAAUAAUUGUUGGUUUAAAAAAAAAAUCUUUGAGAAUCCACUAAUAAACCUGCCCAGUAAUUACUUGUCAAUGCAAGUUAUCAUGGGUUUUAUUACCUACUUGUAAAAGUAUUUACAAGACUGACCUCCCUAGCUUUUUUAGAGAUCAUGGAGGAUAUAAGAAGUCAUUUUUAAAAUCAAUAAUUAUAUAUUAACACAAUAGGGGUUGAAGCCUUCCAAGCCAGUUUUACAGGCUAUUGAGUCAACUCUCACACAUUCAGAUGGCAAGGGUUGUUUCCCGAAUUUUUGGUCUUUUUUUUCUUUCCUUAGUUGUGUUUCGAUAGUGCCGUAUUUAUUGGCUAAUUUACGCCCACAGUUCAGUUCCUAAAAUAGAAGGGGGUGUUCCCUUGGGAGAGCGUCCGUGCAGGUUUGCAGGGAAAGCAAGCUGCCCUCGGUCAGCGGGAAAGUCCCAAAGUAACCGAGUUUUGGCCCGGGGCAGCCUCUGGGCGAGACCUACCCAGAGAUUUGCUUCCUACGGCGUUGCUCCCUGCUGAUUACCACUGGCCUGAUCCUGCCUCCAAGGUGCUGCUCCAGUUCAAGCACAGCAGCUCAGCUCAGCCGCCGUUUGGUCGUGCUGUGAAUAUUGCCUUGCGAUCAAACACCAGGGAGCGGAAGAUGGCGACCCAAUUUUUGGUAGAGAUUUCCUCCCAGCGAAGAAAUGAGUCCGUUCGGCGCCCGGGGGGGGCUGGGUGACGGCACUGUCCCGUCCCCUCCCCGCCUGCUGUCGUAACUCUCAGGCUGCAGAAAGCACCUCGGCUCAGCGGAGGUGGAUCUCCGUCACAUAGGGCUUUUCUCUUAGGCCAGCAGAUAUACGAUGCAAUUUAUAUUUAAAAUUCUCUCUAUAAAGACAGUAUUGAUCACAGAUUCCAGAUCAAUACGUUGCAAUUACAGCAGGCUUUAAAGGCCAUCUGUCCCCAAGCAAGAGCACUGACACAACCACCUCGAUGCGUUUUGAAAAAGUGCUACCGGUACCUGCCCAUCUUCUCGGAGUACAACCGGCAUACUAUUUUUGCUCCCAGGAAGCUCUGUUUAGGAGCUACGCAGAGUUGUAAUUCCUGGUUCCUGGCCACCCACGAGGUGACCACAGGCCAGCGUCUCUGUGGGUCUCAAAGUCGCAGCAGGACCAGUGACACGCCGGUUUCGCUGGCCGGGUUUUCCUGCUCCCCCCACAAUUUAUCCCACGGGUCACAACGUUCCUUUUUGCCAAACCAUCGCUGUCUUCGGUUGAGAAUGAUCAGCAAGAGGUUACUGAAUUUCUUUAAAACAAAGAACUUCUGAGAAUGGCGCAGGAGAGUUUGAGCUGGACACUGGUAGGUGUAAGUAAGCGGAGCCUUUUCACGUGUGACAGAUGGGACCACGGCAAACGCUUUGAAAUUUGUAACUAAAGAAUAAAUGAUAGGCAUCUAAAGGCAGAUUUCAGUUCACAUCUCACCAAACUGAGAUCCCAGUUUUUCAGCACCUGAGGUCAAGAUAAGGCUGUCUGUUGGUGGCCCUGGAUCAGCCACUGGGUAGUGAUUCCAGAAAGGAAUGCUUCCUGGAUUUUCUUUUUUCUUCUGUUUUUAAUUAAUUUCCUGCAGUGGUUGACUUCACACGAGCAUGCAGACUGUAGGAUUUUUAUUCUCCAAUUGUGUCUUGAAGGAAAAUUAAAGAAUAAAAAGAUAACAAUAGUGGGUUUACAGUGAUAACAGAAGCCAGCAUACCUUUGCAAAUGAACACGUGCCAAGCAUAAAGGCCCGGGGAGAGGGUGUGCAUCCCGCGCGCGCCGUGCCGCGUCCCGCCGGCACGUUCCUGAUGCUCCCUGCAUCCGCCUCCCUCCGGUUUCGUGUCAGUCUUCAGCUUUAUUUACACCAGCUUCUGAACAAGAGAAGCCAGGUUCUGAACACGUUUAUUCCAGUGUAAAUGCAGAGCUACUCCUCGGAAUUCCAUCCGUUCACGCCCUGUCUCCGCAGCGCCGAACGCUGUCCUCACGGUCCCAACCCUGGAUUCCUAACGUGCUUAGAUGGGUUUGAAAACAAUGUCAGCAAACAGUCGGUAGCUCCGUGCAGAUUAGAGCUAAGGCACAGCCUGCACUUCAGAAGCGUUAUAGCUGUGAUGUCAGGGAAGUGAUUGCAAAACGUUGGUACUGGUGUGACCGUGCUGGUAAAAGUCCUAAUGUAAAACCAGUUGUAUCGCUAUAAAGCACUUUAUACUGGUACAGCUUAUUUUGCUUUGCUGGACCACUUUUAUACCAGUGCAAGCACUUUUAGCCCAGUAUACUUCAGUCUACGCUAGUGAUCAUUUUUUGUUUUAACUAUGCCGGCAAAAAAUGUGAAGAGUAGAUAACGUUUAAGAUGACACUGUUGUUUCUUGUACCAAAGUGUCUGUACAGUAUUUUCUUUGAGAGUAUUUUUAAGAGUGAAAUAGCUGUACCACUGGACUUAACUGCAGAGUAAUAAACUUCCAGUUCAUCAUCACUCUCAGCUCAUGAAAUGUCUUCAGGCCUUUGUAAAAAGCCCUGUUUGAGACAACAGAUUAAAUACUAAUCCUGGCAGAUCGUACAUCUCCGCUUGAGUUCAUACCAUCUAGCUGAGCAAACUUUUUUUUUUUUCUUUUUUUGAUCUAAGUAAAGGCAACACAUUCUUUCAUUAGACUUCUUAGAUGAGAUAGCAGGAAAAAAAGAUCAAUAUUUUAAGAAGAAAAUAAAAAAAAAAACCCUCUUGCAGAAACGCCGCUACAUUAAACGCAAGGAAUGCUUUCCCUUGAACGGCAGCAGCCCCAGGUGAGGCUCAAACCCAUGCGAUCGUCUCAAAGUGGUCCACGUGACAUUAAACGAUCCCCAUACCUGUAUAUGUCUAGGUAGAUAUGCAGGGAUAUGCAGACACCCCCCAUACACAUUCCUACAGUCGUGCGUACACCGGCACGCGGCACACGUGGGGGUGCGUGCGUGUGGCUUUACAAACAGGCACCGGUUCUGUGGCUGAAGGAACAGCCGGGCGCCGCUGGCACCCCGCGAAGCAGCAGAGCUCUCCAGGACGGACAAUGCAGUUUGUUGGCUUUACAAGGCAGCAGAUGCUGGAACGUGCAAUACAGGUUGCAAAAGCUGAACAGUUCUUCCUUGGCUCAGGGUACUUCACUGUCGUGUGUCUCUGGUACAACACACCCUCUCGUCCAGCGCUCAGGCACCGCUUCUUAAUCCUUUGUUGGGUUCUUUUUCCGUACAUUUGUUUCGGGUUUUUAUUAUCUUGACCACGUCAGCACGAAUGGUGAGAGAUCCACCCCCGGUUUCAAUAGUGCUUGGCCAUACCAGGAAAUGCGAUGGUCUCGCCCUGCCCCAGCGCUUGUGGUAUGUCGUAAGGUUGUUAUUGGCAGCAUCUUCAGGUUACAUCUGUGACCCGUGGUGUUAGGUCUAGAAUUUUGUUUAAAAAAAUAAAGAAUGGAAAGCUCAUUUCUCUUUUAAAAAAAAAAAAAAAUAUGUAUAUACUACAAAUCUCAAAAAGGAAAGAUUAAACACAUUUUUUAUAUUAACAACGCAGAUGGGACUCCUUUGCGAGAGGACUCACGGUGACUUUCUCUGUAGAAUGUUUCAGUGCUUAUGCACUAAUUUUGUAACAAGUGCAUGCUGUAUAGAAUAUAUUGCCCGUAUACUUAGAGCGGAGGGGGGGCCAAGCUGCUUUUCAUUGUGCACUGCAGCUUGUUUGGAUGAAAAGUUGCGCCUUUGAUGCAUUUUUAUACUGUACAUAUUUGUAUAUAUUAACUAUAUUGCCAUGUUAUGAACACAGAUUUUGUUAUAUUUGCUUGUUUCGGUUUCCUACAAAAAUUGGUCCAUGACGGGGGAUAUUUUAUUUUUUUUUGUAUAGAAAAUAUGCUUGUAAUUUUUGUUUGUUUGUUUUCUUGGUCAUCAUCUUUUAAUGGCUCCUAAAGGAAUUAGAGAUGAGUUUUUGGAGGAACUCUGAGAAGCAAGUCUGUGUUUGCAUGAGACCUGCCCAAUUGCUGGCUGUAAGGGGGGCGGGGGGAAGAGGGGAAAUCUAAGUCAAGUUUUGCUGUUAAAGCAUGCUUAGUCCCAUGGGAAAGCUCACACAUGUACAAUUAUUCUCUUUGUAUUUUAUCUAAUAGUGCCUGAAUAUUUUUUUUAAUGUCUUCUUGGAGGAACAAUUCAUAAUUGUCAAAAUUUGAAACAUUAGCUUAAUUUUGUUUUCAUGACCUCUCAUUUCUCCUCCUUAUUUAUUUUGUUGCUGUUUAUAAUGGGCCCCAAGGCCAUUUCUGACAUUGCAGUGUUCUUCUUCCACAUUAAGGAUGUUUUUAAAAUUACUAAGAUUAUUGAGCCAACAGGCUGUUUUAAUCAAAACCAUGUUUCACUUGCUUUUGAUGAUUAUGAAUGGUCCUUGCAGAGGGAGCCCCUUUCUGCUGGAGGACCCCACCACCUAGCGGCCUCCAGCCCCAGCGCUGCCGCAGCUUCCCCGCGCUCUUGCUCCGAGCCUAGCUGGCAAUUUGGCUUCAAAUUAUUUGCUUAUUACAACUAACUUCAACUAAACAAAUUGAUAACGUUAAUGGCUUUUUUCCCCCCCCCCCCCACCACCCCCCCUUUGGUUGAUUGCUAAAUAAAUUUGUAUAAUUUAUACUAGAGGAGAUUACUGCUUUUAUUGUUUUGGGUUCCCCCAAACCAAUUAUUAACAAUCAGGACUAUGUAUCUCAUUAAAUUUAAAUGAGGUCAAACCUAUUUAUCUAAGGCCUUUUCUGAUUUACAGGAAGAUGACUGUAUUCCAGUGCAUUUAAGAUGUAUUUCUGUGUAUGAUUUUUGCAGCAUUGAAAUCUAUUAACGGUGAUUUUUUGUUCUGUAUUUUUACCACAGUAAAUACGUUGUAAAAAAAAAAAAAAAAAUCCCUCAACUUUACCACUGAAAACAUUACUUUUUAUGCCCAGGGAUUUUUUUUUUUUAAUAAAAUCACUGCAGUUUUAAAACUGUAAUUAAAGCCCUGAAUAAUAGAUCACACAUCUUUAUCUGUUGUGUUUAAAAGGAAAAAAAAUAGCCCAAACUGUUCACAUAAUGCUGAAUGCCUCAUUUCCAUAAAAAAGGUUUCUAUACAUAUAUUAUUUACAUUUUUAAACAUGGUAAUUCUUUCCUUUGUGGCAUAAAAUGUCUCUUUUCCACUGCAGCUAUUGGAAAGCGACUGCUCACAUCUGAAAUGUUAUCGUAAUUUGCAUCAGGAAACCCAACUGCAGACAUUAAGGACUUGGGUGUGUUCAAUUAUGAUUUUGCUGGAGGCUGUCCCUCAUUUUAAUGCUGCACUCAUUGAACUACCUUUCUGAAAUCUAGCUGAUACGGUUCACCAUAGACGUGCUUCACAACAUCAUUAGCUUUGCAAAUGGCUUCAUUUCAGUCAAUGCAGACUUCAGUUUUGGCCAAUUGUAAAAUGGAAAUUUGAAAAGGAAAAAAAAAAAAAAAACAGAUGCACUUAAAACAUGAAAAGAAUUAUUUAUAUGAUAAAAAUAUAUUUAGAUUUUCAAAGCACAAGACUGAACAGAAGUGCUCUUUUUAUGCUUUCUGAAGAUGUUACUGUUAAAAGUCUUUCU
Molecule: RNA transcript, 11330 nt
Organism: Grus americana (Whooping crane)
Lineage: Eukaryota; Metazoa; Chordata; Aves; Gruiformes; Gruidae
Gene: TSHZ2
Gene name: teashirt zinc finger homeobox 2
Exons: 5
Source: RefSeq, a predicted model, not a curated record